UUUAAUAAUUUUCAUUCUUAAAAUUAAAAAAAUAAAAAAAGAAACCUUCCAAAUCCUUACCUACCUCUCUCAUCCCUCACAACCCUUUCUCUUUCAUCUCUUUCACUCCAACCUUUUCUCUGUCAUCCCUACUCUAGCCCCAAUUGAAAAAAAAUCAAAUACUUGCCUUAUUUUAAAAAAUUUCAUUCUCAAAACUGAAAAAAGAAACCUCAAACCCUUACUCACCUCCUUCAUUCCUUUCAACCCUUUCUCCUUCAUCUCUCUCACUCAAACAUUUUCAACAUUUUCUCUGUCAUCUCUGCACUAGUCCGAACUAAAAAAACACUCAUUAUUAAAUAAAAUGGUUAGAGAAAAAAAUACUUACAUAAAUAAAAAAAUUAAAGCACCUAAUU
RNAcentral lists this long non-coding RNA (392 nucleotides) under Vigna radiata. Its description in RNAcentral is "long non-coding RNA (VRAD_LNC013724)". The record is from RNAcentral. Lineage: Eukaryota; Viridiplantae; Streptophyta; Magnoliopsida; Fabales; Fabaceae.